UCCGGAGAGGCUUCGGUUGUGUUCGGUGGGUGCUCCGGGCACCGUCUCUCACCAGUUAUUGUUAGGCAGAGCUUCAUGUUGCUCAUUUAAAUAAGGGGUUGUAUGGUGAGGUCAUCUGUUCAAGUGUUUAGUUUGUGUUGUUAGUCGGUGUAAAGCAAUACUCUGUUCAGCUUUAAUUUAAAAUAAUUAUUUUUAUAUUUUAGUGUUUUUGGUGAAAUCAUAUUACAUCACAUUUUAAUAAUAUUAUGGGUUACACAAUGAGAACAGAUGCCACAGGUCACCUACAGUCCGUCUGUCUGUGUGCAACAUGCUGUACAUCCAGUUGUUACCGUGAAUUGAUAGACGAUGUUAAUUAUAAUAGGCUUCAAUCUGCAGGCGACGUGUGGAGCCGCAGCCGUGACGAGACAGGUGUCACACCGUGAUGGAAGCUGAGCGUUAUGUGCGCGCAGUGUGGCGCCGCACAACAGGGCGUAGCGUACUACGGCGUAGCACCGGUGGCCGCUACGUGCUACGAGCUACGAGCAGUCUAAUGUUCAGUGAAGUCGACAGAUGGCGACGGCGGUGCAGCCGGUGACGGCGCGAGCCUUCAUUCAACAUGGACAUCGAGACUGAGAGUCGUCGGCGCCGGCCGCGGCCGAGCGGGUGUCUGACAAAAAGGCGACAGCGCGGGCUCGGCGGAGGUAGCCCUGUCAUUACGGAGGAUUCCCACAGUGCGUAACAAGCGCGCGCCGCCGCCCGCGCCGCCCGCCCCGCCC
Molecule: long non-coding RNA, 755 nt
Organism: Spodoptera frugiperda (fall armyworm)
Lineage: Eukaryota; Metazoa; Arthropoda; Insecta; Lepidoptera; Noctuidae
Exons: 6
Source: RefSeq, a predicted model, not a curated record